Molecule: long non-coding RNA, 1091 nt
Organism: Passer montanus (Eurasian tree sparrow)
Lineage: Eukaryota; Metazoa; Chordata; Aves; Passeriformes; Passeridae
Exons: 6
Source: RefSeq, a predicted model, not a curated record
CAGGAUUCUACAGGAAUUACAGAAAUCUACAGGAUUUCUACAGGAGCCAGUGAGCAUCAGUAAUCCCAGACCUGUUACUCAUAAAGUAAAUGACACAGGAGAAGAGAUUCACAGGAGAGUUGAGGCUGGAAGGGACCUGGGGAGGUCACCUGGCCCAGCUUCUCUACUCAAGCAGAGCCAGUUGCCCAGGACCAUGUCCAGAACGCUUCCACGUAUCUCCAGUGAGGGAGGCUCCACAACCUCUCCGGGCAACCUGUGCCAGAGCUUUUUGCCUCACAGCACAAAAGUGUUUCCUGUUGUACAGAGGAAACCUCUCGUGUCUCAGUUUGUGCCUGUGUGCCUCCUCUCCUUAACUGGGCACCACUAGAAACACCCUGGCUCCACCUCCUUUGUGUCCUCACUACAGUGGCACAUCUCAAAUGUGACUCAGCCCAUGUGUGUCCCUACAAUUUGUCCUAUGGAGCAGCUUAGUUUGGAGAGAAGAGGGAAGGGAUGAAAAAAAUUCAGCAACACAUCCUGACAGAAGGCAGCCAGGGAGUGCGGCUUUAUUGGGGAAGAGCUAUGCUGGGAAGAGAGAGAGUAGAUCUCCUGAGACAUCUAAGAGCAGAAAGCUGAUUUAUGUGCCAGUUGACUCUCUGUGGUUCCCUGAAAUGAAGGCUUGUUUUAAAAGUGAGCUAUAUUGUAACUCAACCUGGCGCAUCAGGACUUGAGCUUGGACACGUGCAAGAAGUUUUACUGCGUGUUGUACCCUUGUGUCUGCAGCAGUGAAGUAUGAGGUGGAAAUGGACAUCCUGGCUACUGAGAGAAGAGUGUCACUUCACGGGAUUCCUGCUCUGUGAUAUGACCAGCUUGUUAGGAUUUUGUAUUGAACUACUGCUGCUUUUUUGUUCUCUUUUUCUUUUUUUCCCCCUUAACCCCCAUAGCAUUAGCAGGACUACUCUUUUCAUUAAAACUGGAUCUUAUUGUUUGGCUUUGUCUUGCAGCAAGACAAGUUCCUACAAGAGACAUUACAAAUAUUAACAAUAAAAGGCUACAUCUGAGGCAUGCAAAAUGUGGCCAGCUGCAACAUUUUUGUUCAAAUUGGCAUCGGA